Xyrauchen texanus (razorback sucker) is the source of this 885-nucleotide long non-coding RNA. RefSeq lists it as uncharacterized. The transcript is spliced from 4 exons. Lineage: Eukaryota; Metazoa; Chordata; Actinopteri; Cypriniformes; Catostomidae. The record is from RefSeq and is a predicted model, not a curated record.
UGAAGAUUAAGACGAAACCAAACGGCAAUGGCUAUCAGCAACACUGAGUAUUUCGAUCAAAUUGGGAAUAUUCAGAAGAGUACAUCAACGUUGGAGGACAAGAAUCAUAUUACAUACUGAAGAAAGACAGAAAGAAAACGGAGAGCAGGGGGUAAUCAGAAGCAGACGAGUGCCAGCAUUACAGGUGGAGAUGGCAGAGAUGCCAAUCCAAUUAAGAAGGAAACAACUGAUAUUGAUAAACUGGGCAAACUUAAAAGUGAGGGAUUUGGGGCUUAAAUUGAGGAGCUGAACAUGCAGCGUCAUCGGAAGCGUGAGUCCUGAAAGGUCUGGGGAGAGAAGGAAAAGAGACUCUGAUCCGUAACCCACAGUAGAUGGCGGUAAUGCUCUAUUUUAGAAUGUUAGCAGCCAAUAAAGAAGAAGAAGAAGAAGGGGAGAUGUCCUGCACUGAAAGAAUAGAGAUUUGAAACUGGGAUGUGGUGAAAUUGAGGUGUGCCAAUCUGUGUAAGGAGAAAGAAAUGUGAUUUUGUCUACUGUGAUGUGAAUUAGGAAUGCCAUCGGAGAAGAGAGGAAGAAACACCAAAGGGACAAAUUUGACAGUGCUUAUCACCAGAGAGUGAGGCCUGGAUUUUACAUAGCCGUUGAUUGCACAACUUUAGUGAAAGUGGAGUGACAAGAGUUCAUAGGAUCCUCAAUUGCCAAAGAGCUCAGGUACAUGCAAACUCUCCAGGACCUAGCGUGCACCAUUUCAAAACCCUCAUACGGCCUGAACUCUCUCUCACACAUUUACAUACACCCACAUUUUAGUAAUUUUUGUUGUGUGUUUCGUUCUGUUGUAAUUUAUGUGCUAAUGAUUAUAUGCUGUUCUUUUUGUGAGUCUUAGACUCC